This is a long non-coding RNA of Penaeus indicus, 444 nucleotides long. RefSeq lists it as uncharacterized. The transcript is spliced from 3 exons. Lineage: Eukaryota; Metazoa; Arthropoda; Malacostraca; Decapoda; Penaeidae. The record is from RefSeq and is a predicted model, not a curated record.
UCGCUAAUGUACGUAUAAUUGUCAUGCAUGUCCUUUAAUAUGGCUUUUUUUGGUUACAUUAAAUGAUGACAAAUUUCGCCCCUAGCGUAAAAUCCAUGACGAUGGCAUUGGUCUUUCUGAAAAAAUUGGCUCUAUAAAAAAUAGCUGUUUUUAGAAUCUUGUUUCAGUUGAUGUGGUCUUUCACAGGUGGUGGAUAUAGUGGAACCAGCUAUUUUGAAACCAAGACACAAGUUUCAGUCCUGCUUUAAUCUUCACAUUAAAAGUAAGAAUGCAGUGCAAGUUGGAAAUGAUACUUUUGCAUCAGAAGUUCAAAGAUAUGGGAGUGCUGAUCCAGACAAGAAAAAUGAAAAGUUCAACUGGAAGGAGCAUGGUUAUGUUUGUGUGAUUACCUAAGGAAAUGUAUCUAAUAACUGUUCAUGAACUUCGUAUAAUAAAAAAAAAUUA